Molecule: ribosomal RNA, 705 nt
Filed under: Triticum aestivum (bread wheat)
Lineage: Eukaryota; Viridiplantae; Streptophyta; Magnoliopsida; Poales; Poaceae
Description: partial small subunit ribosomal RNA
Source: RNAcentral
CACCUGGGCCCAAGAAAAACUCCGAUUCCGAGUACCAUAGGACCCAACGGUAAAAAAGGAUGGCGACCAAAGCAGCCCCACCGACCCUGGUGGUCUCGCACCAUUAGAAUCCCCUUCCCCAACCCAAAUCGGCCGCCGCCAAGCCCUCGGCCGGCGCCGGCGCCGUCGCCGUCGCCGCUGAGCCAACCACCGAAGCGCCUCGAACUCCUCGUCCUCCUCCCCGUGCCUACCGUCCUCCACCGGAUCGGCGCGGAUCGGAGGCUCCCGCGAAGCGAUUCCUCCCGUCAGGCAGUCGAGAUGUCGGAGUACAAGAACGUCGUUGGGGGGAAGCUCAAACUGAAGGGGAAACCGCUGGAUGUCAAGGAGGGCGGAGUCAAGAAGAAGAAUAAGAAGAAGCACCGCCGCGAGGAGUCGUCUCAAGGCGAGCACAGCGAGCUCCGCGAAGGUGGAAGCUCUGAAUUACCAGGCGACCCUGACAAUGAAUUCAGUGAAGCUGACAAGCUGGGAGAGGAAGGGAGUGCGCAAGCCGAUUAUGACCACCUCACUCCAGCCGAGAGGCGUUACAUUGAACAGAAGCAGAAGAUCGAUGUACACAAGCUGGCCAAGGUGGCUGACAAGUCGCACAGGGACCGCAUCCAGGACUUCAACCAGUACCUCGCAAAUCUUAGUGAGCACUAUGAUAUCCCAAAGGUCGGCCCUGGUUAA